CCAGGAUUGUCUCGAUCUCUUGACCUCGUGAUCCACCCACCUCGGCCUCCCAAAGUGCUGGGAUUACAGGCGUGAGCCACAGCGCCCAGCCUUGGGCCGGGUCUUUCUAACUUCUAGUCUAGUACUCUUGAGAAGACAAUGGAAAAAGAAAAAAAAAAACCCAUCCCAAAGUCAAGGUGGGUCAUGUAUCUAUUUAGUUGCUUAUCACAAGCUUAUUGGAAGCCAACUGUGUGCAAGAUACCAUGCUGGGCAUGGUCAUUCAGGGGUGGAGAAAGCAAAUGGCUUCUUGCCUUUAUGGAGCAGAUGGAGAGGAAAGCCCUGAAAUUCGGUGUUUGGAGACUUGGGGCUGCCUUGGUCAGGGGAUUCCAGGGAAUGAAAAGCCAAAGAAAGAUAUCCUUUCUUUGCCUCUUACGGCACCAGACCAUCUCUGGUUUGAUUUCCUCGUGUUUUUCAGAAGCUGCACCUAAAGUCAAGAAAGUUAAGUAACUUCUCAAGGUCAUACACAGAGACAGAAAUGCAAACCAGCUCUCUUGGCUUUAAGGCUCCUUUCCUGUCAGCCUGGAGCUCCCUAUUAAUGGCAGGAUGGGGACUUCCUAACUCUACAAGCUCUAAGUUCUGUCUGAUGUCUUCUCACUACCCAAUAGUGAAGGAAGAGAUGCUGUGCCACCCAUGCCCAGGUGAAGGGUCUCCAUUUUCCUCAGUCUGUGCUCUGGUAGGAGAAUCCGCUGAAUUUUGCUGCUUUGAGUAAUCUGGGGCUUUGGGGUCAGGAGCUGGGAGGUGCACGUUGAACACGGCAGAAGAAGAGCAAGGCCUACACCUGUGUGGGACGUAGCACUUGGGCCAUUCUGCAAGAAUGUAUGUGCACAUCUGUGUUGCUGUUUCUCUGAUACCAGCACUAGAAGGGUUAAGACGUCCUAGCCCAGGGGAUGGAGAAGUUGUCUGCACAGGAAGCUUCUCUCCCAGUCCCAAAGGCCUGGGAGAGGGGGAAGGGGAGUGAUUUUCUCAUCUCUUUCCCAGGCUCCUCAGCCUCUCAGGGGACCCAGCUACAUGCCGGAGAGGUGGCCCUUGACCCGUUCCCCUCCAGAGGCCCUCUCCAGCCCGAGAAAAGUCUGAUCCCGCACAAGGUGCUGGAGCACUGGGAGAGUGGGACCCCUCCCAACUUCCUCACCUCGUUUUUUCCCACCAUCUCAAUUAUUCCUUCCUCAUUAGUGCCUACCCCACUCCUGUCCCAUAUGCACCAUAUUCAGACCCUGAACUUCUUCCCCCACCCCAGCUCUGGGCCCUCAGUUCUCUCUUCCAGCCCCCGCAUUUGUAAUCUUCUAAAAAUAAAAGCCUGUGAUUCAAGUAGGCAACUCCGGAAAUAUACAAUCCAGCCCAGGCAUCCGUUGGGUGGGGGACAAGGAAGGGCCCACAUACAGAGAAAUACCCAGACCCAGCUCACCCCCCAGGUAAACACAGGAACACAGUCUGUUCCUGAGGAGAAAUAAGGCAGGGGGAGGAGAAUACUGCCAGGUGGUGCUCUUGAACUAAGGUCCCUAGCAAAAGAGUCUGGGGUCUCCUCGUGGCCUCCUGUCUGUCACCAUAAGCCAUUGUUCCCUCCUACUUUCUCAGCAAUGGCUCAGAGAAGUGGGGGCUGCUUCCCCAAGCCACCAGCCCUGACCAUCUAGAGUCUGGACCAAAAUCUUUGGAAAUCCAGGCAGCUUUGGGUCCUUUCCCUUGGAGGGCGUCCUGGUCCCAGGGAUGUGGAAGUGGGCCACUUCAGGCACAGCUGUUCAGAGGCAUAUAUUCCCCAUCCCCAUUGCCUCCUUCCGCACCCUGGCCAGGCCUGAGGGCAAAGGGAAUCCAGGAGCUAUAUCAUCUAAGAUUCCCCAUGGGUUUCCACGGAAAGGGAGGCUCUCCAGUGGUCUGAAGGGACUCCAGCCCCGACCUGCGCCACAUCCUCAGUGUGACAGAAAGACUAGGAUCAAAUCACCCUGGACUUUGGAGAUAGUCAUUCCCAUACUGGGCCAUAUGGACUUCUGGCUGGAAUUUAUGUAACUGCUCAAUCAUAGUACAUUUGGGGACCUCACAAAUUAUAGUAAUAAUUAAUUAGAAGAACUAUGGCUAACAUUUUUCAAGCACUUACUAUGCGCCAGACCUGGGCCAAAUACUUCACAUGCAUCAUUCUCACUUGGUCCUGUCAGGAACUUCCUUUUAUCAUCCCUAACUUCUGGGUAAGGAAACUGAGGCCUGGAUCGCUCACAGAGCUGGCCCUAGGUCACACCAGUAAAUGGCAAAGCUGAGACUUGAACUCAGGUCUGCUUGACUCCACAGCCUAACCUCUGUGCCAGGUUCCCCUUAACCUCUGUGCCUGUGCCAGGGCAUGACGAUGUGGAACCCUGCUGAGAGACAUCUGAAAAGCAACUGUGGUCUCAGGCUCAGGUGGGCACCACUCAUGUCCUGGGGAUAGAAGUCUACUGGGAAGCUGAGGUUUCUUUCUGUGCCACAUGGAAGAGUCAGCGGGCAUGACACAUGGGGUCAGACGAUCCCUGGCUCCUUCCACACCCCACUGCACAGCCUCAGGAAGGCAGCAGCGGCCAGCUGUAGGGUCUCUGGGAAGUUGCCCCGUCAGCCUCAUCCCUAGCUCCUCAUCCCCAGCUGACUGGCAUCCUGACUGCCAGCCUACAGGCCUGAUUGGCCCUUGCCAACCCCAGCCAUGCAGCCUUCCAGACAGCAGAAGUCCUGUUUUCUUCCAUUUCCUUCUCAGGGAGGAGGAAAGGAGUGCUGGGCAGGGCAGGCAGCCUGGACAGGGCCCCAACCACAGCAUUGUCAAGGAGACAAAGAACUGACCAGAACCUGCCCCUCUUGUCAGCAUCUUUGGGUCUCUUCCGAGCCUUUGUCAGCCCAGCACUUCUGCUGUUCCCCCACAUCUGGCUUUUGCAUCCUAGGGAAGAAUCAGUUCUUCCUCUUAGGCCCACAGGAGCUGUCCAGCUCUUCCUAUACAUGAGCAAUCCCACUCAAGAGCAUAUAUUUUGAAUUACAGCCUUUUUUGGUUUAGACAAAAUUUAUCACAUGCAAAUUAGGUGGUGUGCCUGGAGGAUCCCACCAUUAAAGUUUAUGUAUAUAUGUUGAGUGUAGUAGGGGUCACUCAAGGGACCCCUUAGACAUGUUGCCCAUGAUAAUACUAAUGCUAACAUUACCGGCUACCAUUUAUUAUCAGCCACAAGCCUGACACUGUGCUAAGCCCUUUACAUGCAUUCUUUUUUUUUUUUGAGAUGGAGUCUCACGCUGUCACCCAGGCUGGAAUGCAAUGGCACAAUCUCGGCUCACUGCAAGCUCCACCUUCAAGUGAUUCUCCUGCCUUAGCCUCCCGAGUAGCUGGGAUUACAGGCGUGUGCCACCACGCCCGGCUAAUUUUGUAUUUUUAGUAGAGAUGGGGUUUCUCCAUGUUGGUCAGGCUGGUCUCAAACUCCCAACCUCAGGUGAUCCACCCGCCUUGGCCUCCCAAAGUGCUGGGAUUACAGGCGUGAGCCACUGCGCCCAGCCUCAUGCAUUCUUAUUUAAUACUCAACAACCUUAUGAGUUAGGUGCUGCUUGUCUUCACUUUACAGAGGAGAAAACUGAGACCAAAAUCUCAGUAAGUAGUUGAGCCAGGAUUUGAACCCAGACCUAUAGCAUGUAGGGCUUUCUGUUUUCCCUCCCUCCCUCCCUCCCUUCCUUCCUUCCUUUCUCCCUCCCUCCCUUCCUCCCUCCUUCACUCCUCCUUAUUUUUCUUUCUUUCCUUUCUUUUUUCUUUCUUUCUUUCCUUCCUUCCUUCCUUCCUUUUCUUCCUUUUUUUUUUUUUUUUUUUUUUGAGACAGGGUCUUGCUCUGUUGCUCAGGCUGGAGUGCAGUGACAUCACCAUGAUUCACUGUAGCCUUGAACGCCCCCACCCCCACAGGCUCAAGAGAUCUUCCUGCCUCAGGCUCCCAAAUAGCUGGGACCACAGGCAUGCGCCACCACACCCAGCUAAUUUUUAAAAUUUUUGUAGCAAGACAGACUCUUGCUAUGUUGCCCAGGCUGGUCUUGAACUCCUGGACUCAAGCAAUCCUCCUGCCUCAGCCUCCCAAAGUGCUAGGAUUACAGGCAUGAGCCACCGUGCACAGCCACAUGGGCUUUCUUCUGGUCAUUCCGCUCUUGGCUGGUUGGCCCUUGUGCAUGCCCCACCAGUGCACAUGCCCAUCUGAUAAAGUUGGUAGCAUUUCCUGAAACUCUAAAACUGCUCCAGGCAGUUCUGAGGAGAUAAGACAUGUCCUGCAACCUGGGUUGGGCUUUGCUUUAAGCCUCUAAUUGGCUGCUAGCCAGCACCUGCCUGACUCUACCAAACUCUUCUGAUCAAUAACUAGUGGAUGCUUUUACACUCGUGAAGCAUGGUUAAGUCCAUCUUAUUAUGGCAACUCCUGAUAGUUUCCCCCACCAAAGAAUCCCUUCACCUCUUUCAUGUUUGUCAGUUGAGCUACUAAUUUAUAUGCUCCCUUUGUCCUUUGCUUUUAGGUCCUCCCUGAUCCUCCCUCCCACUGUGACCUUGGGGGUCCAGGAUAAAUUCCAUUAAAACUCCUGCUCCCUGUUCUUACCAGGAUGGCCUUGAUACAUAAAUUUACCUCUAGCCCCACUGUCUGUCUAUCCUGUUAUCUCUUUCUUAAUAUUUCUUUGGUCUUAUUCCUCCUGCUCCUCCUCUGACUGUCUCUGAUGUCUCGAUCACUGCCUCCCUCCCCUGAGCCAAUGCCACGGAACCGCCCAACAUGUGUAAGUGUGACUGCCUGGAAAAUGUAACCUUCAAAGAGCCUGAAGUUGAGUGACAGUAAACAGAACCUUGGAGACCCAGACAUCAUCUAGGGUUUACAUGGACUCAGCGGCAGAGACUUGGAAACAAGGCAAGAUGAGAGAGAGGGAGGGAUGGGGAUGAUCAAAAGAAUGAGCUGGAGGGAAAAGUGGGAACUAGGGAGAAGUAAUAUUGAUUCAACCAGGCCACACAAUCCUUGCUGUCAAUGAGAGAAGGGCCUUCAGAGAUCAGCUAGUCCAGGAGUGGCAAAGAUGUUUCAUGUCAUGAGCUAAUGUUGAAUGAUGAGUAGCAGCUUCCUGGAAUGCAUCCUGAAAAGAGAGUGCUGUAGUUGAUUAGCAAUGUCUGCCAUGGGCAUUGGAUGAGAAAUGGUGGCAUGUGUGCUAGGAUUUACCUCUUUGAUCUAAUUCAACCUCUUCACUGUAGUACAACCCAGGAGUCCGCAGGGAAGGGACUUGUCCAAGGUUUUCACAGCAAGUUGCAGGCAGAUCUCAAAGCUUUUGCGAUCUCCUGAAACCCAGGUGGAAUUUGCAAAACUAGGUAUUGACAAGGGACUCAGGGAAAGUGGUGAGUUUCAGAAGCCCUGAGUGUGGGAUAACUAGAAAAGGAGCUUCCACUCUGAGCUGUGGAGAAGAAUGUGGAUGCAUUGCAGACCAGACACGGGUGAGUGCUUGGUUCUCAUGGAGUGAUCAGUUAUCUGGAUCUGCCCAGCACCCUGGAUACCUUUUUCACCUUUUUCCUCCCAGGGAGAAAAAAGAAACCCUUUAGAGCAGAGGCUUUGGCUCUCUCUAGACAAAGGGUGGAGAACUCAGUGAGGAAGAGAAGAGGAGGGAAAAUGGUCCUGGGCUGGGAUGGCACCCUUAGGGGCAGAGCCACUGACUAUGUGGCAAUGGAAAGGGCCCUGAAAGAAGGUGGCAGGUAGGAGGAGCUGAAAGCCAGGCAGGAGGCACCUGUGUGUUGGUGGGUGGGCCAGAGAAGAAGAAAGAGCCUCCAGGUGACAAUGCAGAAUGGGGAUAAUGAUACCCUGACAAAGCAGCAGAGCUUGGAGCCCAGCCCAGCCAGGGGGUCUGGAACAGCUAAGCCGCAAUGCACCACUCACAGGUGGAGGAUGUGGGCCAGUGGGUGGGAUGGAGAUGGGGGCUGAGGUGGCCCAGGACCAGUGCAGCCUUGGAGGUUUGCUCCAGAGUUUUUGUCUCUGUUGUUCUUCCCUUCUCUUUCUUUCCCAUCCCAUCUCUUACUUUCUCUUUUCUUCCUCCCUCACCCCUCUAUACCACAGAGUCUCCACUGGGAGUUGAAAUAGGUGAGUAGUGAGAGUGGUGGUGACAGAAAGAUCUGGAAGCUGCUUUAAUUCAGAUCAUCUGCCUAAGGCUAUGAAAAGAAACUAGACUGCAAGUGUCCCAACAGCAGAGAAUCAGAUCUGGAUGCCAUACCCAGUUUUUCAUAAGACCUAACUGAGAUCUAGAAGGUGAAGAACUCCCCGAUGUCAGUGUCAUGGUCAGACAGUCAAGUCUCCCAUCUUCCUUCCUUGUCUCUGUGACCUAAGCUGAUCUUACCCCAGGAUCCCAGGGUGGGCACGUAACUUGACCUGGUCAAUCUGUGUCUUCCAUCUCCAGGACACGGUGACUCACUAAAAGUUAAUCUGGCUGGGUGCCGUGGCUCACGCCUGUAAUUCCAACACUUUGGGAGGCCGAGGCGGGUGGAUCACAAGGUCAGGAGUUCGAGACCAGCCUAACCAAUAUAGUGAAACCCCAUCUCUACUAAAAAUAGAAAAAUUAGCUGGGCGUGGUGGCGGGUGCCUGUAAUCCCAGCUACUCGGGAGACUGAGGCAGGAGAAUUGCUUGAACCCAGGAGGCGGAGGUUGUGGUGAGCCGAGAUUGUGCCACUGCACUCUAGCCUGGGCAACAGAGCGAGACUCCUUCUCAAAAAAAAAAGAAAAGAAAAAAGAGUUAAUCCAAUAAUAUUAGCAGUGGAUCUUUUGCUGAACUAUUGAAAGAUGAGUGGGUUCUUUCUGUCGGGUUUGCCACACUGGUCAGUGUAAGACUGGAGCUUCUUAAACUGCUUGGAAAGUGGCUAUCAGAGAGUAAAGCUAACACAAUGGAGAAAGACCCAAAAGUUGGAGUGAGGCAGAUGCCAGGUGACAAUGUCUGUGCGCCUUGAUUCAGCUAUGCCUGAAGUCUAUUCCUGUGCUUUUCAGUUAUGUGAGCAAAAAAGCUUAAGCCAGUUUGAGUUGUAUUUUUGUCAUUUGCAUCUAAGAGACUCUAAGUCCACUUAGAGAAACAGAGGGAGAGAGGCUGGGUGCGAUGGCUCACGCCUAUAAUCCCAGCACUUUGGGAGGCCGAGGUGGGUGGAUCACCUGAGGUCAGGAGUUCAAGACCAGGCUGGCCAAUAUGGUGAAACCCCAUCUCUACUUUAAAAACAUAAAAAAAAUUAGCCGGGUGUUGUGGCACAUGCCUGUAGUACCAGCUACUCAGGAGGCCAAGGCAGAAGAAUUGCUUGAACCCAGGAGGCGGAGGUUGCAGUGAGCCGAUAAUUGCACCACAGCACUCCAGCCUGGGCAGCAGAGUGAGACUCUGUCUCAAAAAAAAAAAAAAAAAAAAAAGAGAGGAGAAACAGAGGCAGAGAAAGACAACCUAGAGAGAGACACAACUACAGGGAUGAGGACUGAGUCUGAUGGGAAAGCAGGUGUGCAUGGGGGUGGGGUUGUCCUUUAGGAUCACUGAACUGACAUUCAACAGUGAAGCAGGAAUAACAUAACUUAUCGGAAAGAACACACAGCCAAAGAUGAUUUUCCAGAUGGGCCAGUCUGAGGUUUCAUGAAAGCUUUUUUGCUGCUACAUAGGCUGUCUGUGUAAUGACAGUAGUCUAUCUGAGCUUCCAGUCUGCACAGGGUGUGGGUCUACUUGGGGUGGGGAGGAAGACAAGGUCAUUGGAGUUUAUCUGAACAGUCAGCAAUCAGUUGCAACCAAUGUCCCUACUAACAACUCAUCAUGUAAUCCUUGCUCCAAGACCAAUCUUUAUCUAUCAAUCAAUCAAUCUAUCUAUCUAUCUAUCUAUAGACAGGGUCUCGCUCUGUCACCCACGCUGGAGUGCAGUAGUGCGAUCAUGGUUCACUGAAGGCUCGAACUCCUGGACUCAAGCAAUUCUCCCACUUCAGCCUCCAGAGUAGCUAGGACUGCAGUUGCCUGCCACCAUGGCUUGCUAAUUUCUUCCUUCCUUCCUUUCUUCCUUUCUUUUUUUUUUUUUUGACGGAGUCUGGCUCUGUUGGCCAGGCUGGAUGCAGUGGUGCCAUUUUGGCUCACUGCAACCCCCGCCUCCCGGGUUCAAGCGAUUAUUCUGCCUCAACCUCCCAAGUAGCUGGGAUUAUAGGUGCACGCCACCACACCCUACUAAUUUUUGUAUUUUUAGUAGAGAUGGGGUUUCACCGUGUUGGCCAGGCUGGUCUGGAACUCCUGUCCUCAAGUGAUCUGCCUGCCUUGGCCUCCCAAAGUGCUGGGAUUACAGGCGUGAGUCACCACACGUGGCCACCUCUGGCUAAUUUUUGUACUUUUAGUUGAGACAGGGUUUUGCCGUGUUGGCCAGGCUGGUCUCAAACUACUGGCCUCAAGUGAUCCACCCGCCUUGGCAUCCCAGAGUGCUGGGAUUAUAGGUAUGAGGCACCACGCCCGGCCAAUUUCCUUUUUAAUUGUAGAGAUGAGGUCUCCCUAUGUUGCCCAGGCUGUUCUUGAACUCCUGGGCUCAAGCAAUCCUCCUGGCUCAGCCUCCCGAGUAGCUGGGAUUACAGGCAUGUGCCACCAUGCCCUGCUAAUUUUGUGUUUUUAGUAGAGAUGGGGUUUCUCCAUGUUGGCCAGGAUGGUCUCAAACUCCUGACCUCAGGUGAUCCACCCGCCACAGCCUCCCAAACUUGGGAUUACAGGCAUGAGCCACCAUACCCGGCGCUCCUCCUUUCUUACAGCUACAUAGUCAUUCAGUUUAUUUAUCCAGUCCCUUACUGAUGGACAUUUAGUUUGUUUCUGAUAUUUUGCUUCGCAAACAAGAACAUCUAAUACACUUAGUGCACAUGUAUGAGUGUUUCUUGAGGAUUUAUUCCUAGAAGAGAGAUUGCUGGCUCAAAAUAUGUGUGAAUUUUUCAUUUUGAAAAAUACUGCCAAGCUGGAGUGGAGAACUUUUUUCUGUGAAGGAGCCCUCCAUCCCUAGGGCUGAACCAGUGAUGAAAGACACUCCGGGUAGAAAGAGCAUGGACUUUCCAUUCAGAUGUAUUUGGGUUCAAAUCCCAGUUCUGCCACCUUUUUCCUGUGUGACCUUGGUUAAGUCACUUAACCUCUCUGAUUUUCUGUUUCCUUAACUGCCCAGUGGAAAUUGUAAGAGCCGCCUCACAAAGCUGUUGCAAGGAUCAAAUGGCAUCUUGUAGGUCAAUCCUCUAGUGUGGGCCUGGUACGCAGUAGGCUCUUGGCCCAUGUUAGUUUCCUUUCCCUGACUGAACCCUUUUCUGCAUCCAUCAUGGAAGACAAGCUCUGGGGAGUGGCUGGGGAAGGUGAUUUAUUAAUGAACGUCACACAGAAGUCAGGACUCCACAGUGGCUCCUUCUAAAGGUCACCUCUAAAGGCAACUCUUAGAGGUAAGGACCAUUUCACGUAAAGUUGUAAGGAUCUGCUUUUGAGAACACAGCCUAGGGUGCCGGCAGAGAUCAGACCUUACUGGAGGCCCUCUUCCUAAAUGAUCCCUUCAUCCCAGACACUGCCCUCCAUGCCUCAGUCUCUGCAGAAGAGGAGAAAGAGAAUCCUCCUCAACAAGAGGAGGGUGGCUGGCUUUUACACAGGGAGUGGCUAGACUGGUCUCUUUGCAGAGAAUAGAACCAGAAAACAGACAUCAGACAGACUGAGGUCGGGCAGCAGGGUGACAUUUCUGUCUUGGACACACAGCAUGAGUGUGAGAGAAGCAGCAGGGUGCCCCACUGGAGGUCCCUACCCAGGAUGGCCUAUCCAUCUCCCUGUCUUGGUUCAGCGGGAGAGGUCUGGAAAUCCUUUGGAGGUGGUGGCCAGAUUGCAUCCAUAGUCCCAGCCAGACCCUCAGCAAUGCCAAGAGCCUCUUAGCUGCAGGUCACUGUGCUCCACUGUCUGUAGGCCACUGCCCCACCUUCAGGGCUAUAGUUUCUUUCUUCUGGAAACCACACAGGACAUGAGAAUCCCAGACUGGGCUGCCCUUCCUGGAAGAGGAUGUGUGUGUGAGCCCAGCAGCCGCUGUGAUGGGGCCCGAGGUGGUGAUAUUGGCAAAAAAAAGCGGGAGCUAAGCAGCAUGGUGGUAGCAGUGGUGACAAGGCCUCCAGUACAUGUAGCCAUGAUGAGUGACACUCAGUAGGGUAGGCUGUGGUGCCUUUAUCCAGAGUCUAAAUGCUUGCUUUCAGUUCCACCUCCAUAUAUUACAUGCUGUGUGGCCUGGGGACAGUAGCUUUCCCUUUCUGACCUCGGUUUCUUCAUCAGUAAAAUGAAGACGCUAAUACCACCUGUCCUGUCUUCCUCAAUGUCUCCAACCAGCAGGUGCCUUUAACAUGCCACGAGGCAAGAGUGAACUCAGGUGGAGGUACUUUGCUAAAAGCAGCCCAGGUAGGAGGAGAUGACUGAGUAGAACUGGCCGUGUUAUCCUCAGAAUGAUUUCUUGCUUCCCCAGGAGACUCCUGUUGCUGUGACGAUUUUUCCUGGUUCUCAGUCCCUGGACUCUGGGAUAGCUGAGAUCUUCUGGCUCUCGCCUCACAUAGCAUCUCACAGUGAUGUCCUGGCUUCCUGCCUAGGCCCCAAUCACCAGUUCUGGUGCUGACCCUGCAGGUCCUAGCUCCCUCCCAGCCGGCCUAGAGACAGGGCCCAGGCUCAUUGGAAGGAACAACAGGAGACUUGCCUGAAAGCCAAAUGUUCUACCCAACAGGACCUGAAUAUGGUGGCCAAGGGGCUGUACCUGGGCAGUCUCACCCAAGGGACACUUCUCAGGGGUCAGGAGAAUUUCAGCUCUGUGUUUACACAUGAUUCUAGGCUGAGGGAGAGAGAAAAAGCAGGGUAGGGGGUGGCAGAUUAGGCGAGGGAAUGUGUCCCCUAGAUGGUCCCUUAGCUCAUAGUGGAAGUGGGCUCUAGAGCGCCUUGCCCAUGCCCUCUUCAUGCUCUAGAGAGGUGGGCAAAGGACAAAGUAUGCAACUACCCAGGAGAACCAGCCUCCAGAUUGAGAUUGGAGAUGAAGGCCACUCAGUCCCCUCCAUUGCAAAAAGAAUAAAAGAAAGGAGUAGGAUUGGCCAUUGCUUGCAAAUAAACAGGAGGGGCAGUGUUGGGGUAAUGACCUCCAUCCGGGGAGGGUCAGGAAGGGAGCUGUCCUUUACUGGGCACCCAGGAGAUGCACCUGCACAAUUUCAUUCAUUCUCACGACCACCUUGUUAGGUAGGCACUAUCUCUGUGGCUCCAUUUGGCAAAUGAGAAGGAUGAAGGUCUGAGAAGUCAAGUUACACUGCUAGGAAGAGGUUGACUUGGAGUGGAAACCCAGGACUGCCUGUCUGACUGCUGAAUGGGUGCUUUGCGUUCCUUACCUGCCCUCCCAGGGCUCCAGACCGUCCCUCCUGCACAUCUGCCUCUCCCAGGCCGUGCCUGCAUGUCCCCAGCCCCCUCCAACAGCUCCAUCUCCCGAGAGCUCCUUCAAUCUCCUCACUCACUCCUCACUCUUGCUUCCUCUUUGGAAUCCAGCCACAGGCUUUUUUCUUCCAUCUGAGGGAGAGAAAAUGGUCUCAUUCCCCACCCCCAGGUCUUUCCAUCCUCUCAUCCAUCCAAACCUAAGCGUCUCUCUCUCCUCCCCUCCCCUUCUCUUAUUUUUUUUUUCUUUCUGUUUAUCCAUCACUAGAAUCCACCCCCCUUCCCUCUUGCCUGUAGGUUCUGUGGCUAUAAACAAAUCAUAACUUUUAUUAAAUUUAAGAUUACUUUUUAAUGGAAUCAAUUUCUUGUGUGGUGCUUCUCUGCCUGCCCGCGGGCUCUGCCGGCUCUGCGCUCAGCAUCCCCACCCGCACAGUUGUCUCUGCCGCUGGCGUUUCUGGCUAAGCUGCCUCUGAAGGAGGGGCAGGUCUGCCAUCCCUAAACACACACAGAGAAACACACACAGACAUGCACACACUCCCACACACACACCAAGAUGCACCUUCCUGCAAGGCCCAGACACAGAGCCGCCAAGCCCCAGGUGCCCACGCUGAGCGGCAGGGAGUGGGAGAGGGGCAGGGGCAGGAGGAGAGAGCUGCAGAGAGAAAGACUGAGGGUGCAAAACAAACGCGGAGCCGAGCAGACAUUUCUCAGCCUGUUAAUUUCCUACAGUUCUGUUUUCCAGCCUCAGAAACAAGCUGGUUUCUGCCAGUCCACCCCCUUCCCUCUGACUGCAUUGUGCAGCUGCUGAGCAGAGAGAAGUUGCAGGGAGGAGGGGGUUCCAGAGGAGAAGCGAAGAGACUCAGGUUUUCAUACGAUUUAUCAAAGUACAGGCAAGAUGCAGAGAUGCUUCUGAAGCUGUGACCCCAAAAAGAAGCUCAACUGGGAGAUUUGCAGGCUGGACCAGUCUAACCCUACAGGUCUGGGCUUCAGGAAGAAGGGAACCUGGGGGUGCUGCAGGGAAUGCUUUGGAGGAGGCUGUUUCAACGGGCUCAGCAACUCCCUCGGUUUGACCCCUGACACAAGCAUGCCUGCUGAAUCUACACCUGGACCUACAGACUUGUAGAGUCCUUUCUGGGGCUGGAUGUUCCCACAGGACAAUGACCAGUCAUGCAUACAGAGCUUUGCUGCCCAAGGGGACUUUCUGAGGGCUGAAUAUUAUUUACUUCAACUCUCCUUUGACAAGGCACCUGAGGCCCAGAUGGGGAAAGUCACACAGGACUGUGAUGGGGCCUGAUCAAGAUCUCCUGAAUCUUCCCAGUGCUGCUUGCUGUGCUUUGUGGCCCUUCCUCUGGCUGUAACUGUAACCCCACCUAUACCUUAGGUUGCACAUGCUCAUACAGCGCUUACCAUGAGCCACCCUCUGAGGCAGGUACUAUUAUGAUUCCCGUUUUACAGCUGGGGAGGCUGAGGCUCAGAGAGGUUAAAUACUUCCCUAAGCUAGUAUGUGGUCGAGCUAGAAUUUGAAACCAGAAUGUCCUGCCCCAGAAUCUAGACUCCUAACCACUGGGCUGUGCUACCUCUCUUCUCUGGAAGCUUCACCUGUACCUGGACACAUUUACCUUCACUUUCCUCUUCUCCUGACCUUAGCUUUCACCACCACCUUCACAAUUUCUCAUUUCAGGCUAAGCCAGAUAAUCACCCCAGACACAAGGGCAGGCUCAGCACUGCUAUCAAAAUCCCUUUUCCUUUUAUCUUCUCCAUCACCAUUUUAGCCUUAUCGCGUUCACUAUCAUGAUCAACUUCACCAUUUAUAAAGUCUCUAAUUGCAAAUGACUGUGUACCUAUAGACCAAUGCAGAUCUAACCCCUGCCUUGGGAUGGGAGGAUGGGGCUUACAGUCAAACCAAACAGCAGUUUAAGCCACAUAUACUCCUCCCUUUGUAAGUAAAGGUACGAAACCAGAAUGUGGAAGGCAGUCUUCUUCUUAAGAUAUUUUUCUGCAAUAAGAUGAAGGUGGUGAAGGAGAAGUUUCGAACAGCCAAAGAGUGCCUGCUGAGGGAAAUUAAUCAAUGGCCAAGAAGAUUGCUUGUCAUCUUUCAAUAUCUAUAAGAAAUAACGAGCCUCCAGAGAGGGGGCUAGAGCUCCAAGGGAAAAGAAGACCAGUGGGUACUCUGUCCAACUCAUGCCUCUAAGGAGCUACAGGAGAAAGAUGGAGCCAUAGGCAGCUUCCACCCCUUUGGGUGGUGGCCAACACCCAUCUCCCCAGCCACAGUAUCUCUCACAGCCCCUGGGGAAGCCAGAAGCAAGCAACACUGCCCAGGAGUUUUAAAACUGAUUCUUCCCUUAAGCUCAAGUCCCACCCACCUCCCAACCCAAUGAGCUUGCUGGUUGGCUGUCCAUGAGUGUUGGCUGCCAGAGGUGCCAUCAUCCGGCACAGGAUCUACAGGAAAGAGGGCAAUGGCUUCCCAGACCAGAGUCUCCACCCAGAAUUCCAGCCAAGGCCCCAGAGCUCCCAGGACCUGGAGAAUUUGUUCCCCCUGGUUGUGUUUGGAAUUGGCUGGUUUUCUGGGCACCAGGCCCAGCUCAGUUUAAUUUUUGUUUAUUUUUAUGUACAGAUUCUCUUCUGUUUGGGGAUGAGCUUUGUGUAAAUUAUUAUUAUUUAUAUGAUAAAGAAUAAAUCACACCAAAUAAAAAAACCCACAAUCUCUUUUUCUCAAUAGAAUUACUAAAUUAGGGGCUGAAAGGAACAGCCGAUAUGCUGGGGUUUGGUUUCAGGAAGGCUUUGGACAUGGAUUCUCGCAAAACGUCUUAGUAAAUGGGCUCUGUUAUCCUGGAUUUGAUGCUACCCACAGUCCGCAGAGGCAUAAGGGGCCUCCCAGAAAGAUGGCAGUGGUUCAGGCCUAAGGGUGGCUUCCUGGCCCUCCAGACAUCCCACCCUUGGAGAGAUGAGUCGGGCAUUUUGAAGUGAUUCGCUAACUCAGAAUGGGGAAAAAAAGGGAAAACAGGAGUUGGGGAUUCUUGCCAGAACAUGAUCAAAUGCCCUGAACUGGGGUGGGGGUAGGGUUCAUAGGAGUUACUUGAAUAGUGGCAUUAUUACAUCAGGGAAAAUGAGCCAAUCAUUUCUUUGCCUAUUCAUUAAAUUUGCAUGCUAAGACUCUAUUGGUUGGAAUGAAAUGAGUCAGGAGGCAGGGAUGCAGAUGGGCAGAGGACCAGCUGGGCCUGGAAAGUGUCCCCAAGUGGCCCCCAUCCCAGCCAGGAUUAAAACACCGGCCUCUUCUUAUUAAUCCUGCGUUUCAAAAGCUUGUAAAUCCUGCACAGCCGGAAGAGAUAAAAGCCGGCUCAUCCCCAUCCCAGGGCUGACAUUCUUGCACUGACAGUGGCUCAGCGGCUCGACUUCUGUAUGCACACGCGUGUGCUCUGGGCCCACCCACCGCCCAGCUGCACCAACAGCUGCAGGGGUCCUCAGAGGGAUGCGGUGGGGAGAAGGAAGAUAAUUCCAUAGAGAAGGAAAAGAAGGAGGAUCACAGAGAAGAAAGGCAGAAGCAGAAAACCUGAGACCAAACAGGCUGAGUAGUUUCGGAGCCCUCUUGGCAGACUCUGACAGCCACACGGAGAGCACCUAUUGCAAUCCUCAGUGGAUGCUCAAAGCCCUUCUGUAUUGCCCUCAGGCUCUAUUUACAUACUCCCAGGGACAGGGAGCUCACUGGCUAUGGAGGCAGCCUUUUAUAUUACUGCAAAGAGAGCUUCUUCAGUAGGAGUUCAUAUUCACUUUCAGCCUUCCUUUGGCAAAUGCCAGACCUUUGGAAAUCUGAAGGCUGCCAUUCCAGCUUCCUGAUGACACCUUCGGUCUCAAGCUAACCUUCCCCAUCCUUCCUCCAGGCCUCAUGCGUCAGUGGGCUGAGCCCUUCCUUCAUCCUAGUUCCCCUGCUCAGUGCCACCGGGGUGUGUCAGAGAACCAGUAAAGGUGGCUCCAAUGCUGACCACAGUCCUUCCUGUGGUGCAGCCGGAACAGAGGCCAGCUAGGCCCUCCUCCCAUCUGGGGAUCAGAAACCAUUACUGAAGGUUUGAGAAGAAAAAUCACAGUGACCUUGAAUGUCUCUCCCAAGGUCAUUGCAAAAAAUAAUAUCUGUUGUCAUUUAUUGAACUUUUACUCUACAGUAGGUACCCUGUUUACAUCCCUUAUCUUGUUCAAUCCCAUAAGAGUUGUUCCAUUAUUAUUCCAUCUUGCAGAUGAAGUAAAACUUGGAGUGAUUAAGCUAACUUGGCCAUGGUCACACAGCUAAGUAAGUGGUGAAGUCAGAAUUUGAACCUGGUACUGACUCUGAAGCCCUUGCUUUUAAUCUGUGGAUGUUCUCCCCAACUAUUUGGAAACAAAAGUGGUUUUUUUAGUCAAGUGGGCCCCCAAAGUCAGAGAGACUGCUGUCCGUGAAGCUAAAAUAUUUUCUCCAGGAUUGGACUAAUGGUUUCCCACCAUGGGCUUUCCAGGUGGGGGUAGAGCUGGGGUAGAGAUCUCUGGCAUUUUGGUUUAUACUUGCUGAAUAUUUCUUUAGGUCGAGGAGGAAGAUAGUGUUCAUAACACUUACUGAAUAUUCCAUCUGCCAGGUUCUAUUCAUCUCUUUUAAUCUUCACCAUGACUCUGUGCAGUGGAUGCUAGCCCCAUUUUAAAGAGUAGCAAACUGAGGCUCUAAGAGGUUAAGUCACUGGCAUUUAUGCUUAUAGCUUGUGAGUUUUGGAGCUUGUCCGUGAUGUUUCCUAAGAGGAGAUGAAACGCAACACUUACUUUUAUGGAAUGAGGUGUUGCCGGAUUUUUUUUAGAAAGGGCAGGUGCGUGUGUGUGUGUGGGGGGGGUGGGUGGUAAAUGGGAGAGGAAUAAUCUUCAAGAAACACAGAAUUGGGGAGGGGAGCUGAGCGGCUUUCUUCUUUUUUUGAAAUGCACAAAUGGGAAAUUUAACUUGAUCCCUUGUGGCUUCUGGGCCAACCCCUGAGUGAAGUCGGAUCACUUUUGCAAAGGAAAAUUUUAUCCGUUUUUUGGCUUUUAUGGGGCUUCCUCAAUGAGCAAAACCUCUCCUGUUGGUGCUUAGAGAGGAUUUCUCUGCUUGGCCUACGGUGAUGCCGUGUAAUCUCCCAAAAAAUAUGGUGCUAAUAUUCGCCGGGUUAGGGUUAGUUAUUUUUAUGUCUUUGUCAUUUUGUUUCUCGGCAGCUCUUUCUGCUGCCUGGAAAGGACGCGGCGGACACUUUACUUCCAGAGUCAUAUUUUUUAAUUUGAUCAAAGCAAAUUUCACUCGUUCUCUGUAUAAAUUAUUUAACUCAUUUCUUUUAGGUUAAAUGUCUCAAUAGAAAGAUAGAAAGUCUUUCCAUCACAUUUUCUUCCAGGAUUUUAAUCAGCUCCUGUAGAUUGUAUGAACUUCUUUCUCAGUCCUCCAUCCUUCUCUGUCUUAAGUCUCUCUCCCUUCCUCCCUCUCUCUCCCUAUCCGCUCUUCUCCGGCCUCUGCCCCCAACUCCUCCUGAGUCCUGGGGCUCAGCCCCAGCCUCCAUUCCCUUAUGGCUCUGGGUGGGGAGAAUGGGGGCAACUUGAACAUGCAGGGCUUUAGGAGCACACACCAACCCCCUUCAGUUGGAUGAGUUACCAAAGGCACCCUUCCUCUGAGCUGACCCAGCCCACAGCCCUGACAGCAGCGUCAGGGCUCAAUGGCAGGCCCUGCUUGUCCCCCUCAGCCAGAUCUCUGUGCACAACCACAAGCUGCUGCUCCUGCCUCUGCCAAGACCUGUGCCUGCCCGCCCCCCGCCCCCGCACCCGCCCAACUCCCAUUUCCCCUCUAGGGCUGCAGUCUCAGGCUGAAUUUAAAUGUAGCAGCCUCUCCCCAAAUUCCAGCUGUUUCCUAAUAAAAAUUCCAUCCUACUCAAUCAAUGCUCCUUGUCACAGGCCAGGUUUCCUUGUGUCUUAUUUCACUCUGGUCUGGUUCCCUCGGUCCCAGGGCUCCUCAGGCAGACCCCUCCUCCUCAGAGGCUUGAAGCCUCCCUCUGACAAUAGUGCAGGGCUGGGGAUAGAAGACCCGGGCAGAGGUUUUGGAGUUAAGUGGGGUGCUACAGAGGACUCCCUCCAGGGAUGGGCUUGGGCUCUGUGGGGGGCCCCUGCCUCCCACCUUGGCAGCCCCAUCUCUGGCCCCAGGCACUGUCAAGGGAACAGAAAGCAGCAGGGCAAGCUCAUUACCCGUGAACACUCUUCCUUCCCUCAUAUCACAUUGUUUCAGCCAAGAACAAGUCUCCAGUGGGAAUUCCCUUUCGUCUUACUUUUAAAAUAUACAGUAAUUAACAAACUAAUGCUAUUAACUGCAACAACGAGGAAAUUACAGUAAAAUCGCUGCAGAGUCCACAAGCAGUGGGUGUAGGGACCGGUGGGUCCUGGCUCCGUGUGGAGGGGAGGGACCCAGUCUGGGCCCAGGUGUCAUCAUCUCAGCCACAGCAGGGCCCUCUCAGGCUGGGAAACUUCUGCCAGAGCUGGUGAGUCCUCUGCAGGUCAAGCCAGGGCUUGGACACAGCUACUUCAUUUCCUGUGCAGGAAGAGUCAGGAUCCCGGUCAUUCUUCCAGCCCCGGAGGUUUGCUCUUUUAUGAAACACUUAAAUAAUAGAGCUGUGGCCCAGUGCUGACCUGGGCAUGUCUGUGAGGACAUGGCCUCUGCUUCAGGGUCACCGUAGGUUCCGACAAGGCCUCCAGAGGAUGAAGCUCAAAGAAAGCCUCGGGGAGGGACUGCUGUGCCUCCGCUGCCUCCUUCUCUGGUCCUGCGGAAGCAUCUUCAGGGUCUCCCUGUCCAUCCUUCUGCCUUCCUUCCAGCACAGUCAGGCUGUGCGUCCCUUCCUGGGGUUUUACUCAGGUACAGCCAAAGAUAUCAGGAAGGACUAGGCCUGUUGUUGCCUGAUUGCCUGGAAGUCUGUUUCCAGUCUGACUUCAGUCUUUCAUGCUGUAGUCCUCUGUAAUUUCCUCUGGUGAGUUCCCAGCAAGCCUAGUUGAUAAAUUCCAGGAUCCUCUCCCACUCUUGCCUCUUUCCCUCAGGUUUUACAAUCUCCUUGUCAGUCCUUAAAUUCUCUUCCCCCAUCAGGGAGCCAUGGUCACCAGAAAGAGCAACCUGUUCUCAUUCUCCCUCUCUAAACUUUCUCCCAGAGGCCACUCAUUGCCUUGCAUACCAACAAAUGUCUGCUCAGAACUUUUAGAAGUUCUGUUCAGAUACCCACAGAGAAGUUGCGUGCUUAUCCCAUUUUACAGAUGAGGAAAACAAGGCUCAGAGAGGUUAAGUGGCUUGUUUGAGAUCACAUAGCCAGGCAGAAGCAUCGUCAGGACUAGAACUGUGGUUAUGUUUUCUGCAGGUUCCCACCUUCCUUGUCUCUUCUUGGCUCUUAAGGGAACAGAUACUCCAGGGGAGAAGAGAUAAACCUGGCUUUCCUUUAUCUCCGUGGCCAUGCUGGCCUGUGGAGGUGAACAAAAAAUAAAAAGAUAGCUCAUCUCAUGUUUCUCAUUACGACAGCCAGCAUUAUGAAUUGUGCUAUCAUAAUGCAGAUUGUGUACACGGGGAAACUGAGGCUUAGAGAAGCACAGAGCUUUGCCCAAGGUCACAGGGCUGGUGGUGACCAGAGUCAGAACUUAAACCCAGUCCUGUCUGCCUGCAGAGCCCACCCCUGCCCUUAGCCACUCGCCUGAAGGGUAAGACCCAGCCCGACUUGAAGUCCAGCCGGGCUGAGUGUGGAGUCCGAGAACCUCAUUAGGAGUGAAGCUGCCACAUGUGUCAAAACCCCUGCCAGCCCCACUCCAACUUGCAGCACACAGUGUAAACAUCCUUACUAAUUCACCAAACUCAAUCACGUUACCGGGAUGGAUUUUCCCAUCAUUACUCCUGAGUGAGUGACAACCUGCUCAGACACUUGCCUUCCCCGCUGCCUUGGGAGAGUCUCAGAAAUCAGAAUGCUUCACUCCCUAAGUUGAUUUCAACUUGUCCUAAAGUCAUUUUAAUUGGUGAAGUGUCAGAGGCAAUUUGGGUGACUUUCUGAGAGCCCCUUCGCACCAGCACUGGGCUGGCAGGGAGCGGGGCUCGAAUGCUCCCUCCACCCUUGGUGGGCACUUUCCCCUCUGCUGACUGGUCAGGAGGCCGUGCUCUGUGCUUUAUUUUCGUGUUUCUUGCUGAAGUUCCUCUGGCUGGUUCCUGAGGAUAACAAGAUUCAUUUUCUCAAUGGCUCUGACAGAUAGGAUUGUUAUUGUUAUUACACUCAUAUACCACCUUUCCUCCGAGGAGCUUAAGGCGCUUUACAAAUUUGAAAAUUAUCUAAUAAUCUUCCAGCAACCCUGAGAGAGAGGGAGAAGCUGCAGUUAGAGGCACUGCAGUGCAGCCAAAGGGCGUCCACACUCCUUGCCCCGACCAGGGAUGGUGGGCAUGUGGCCAUGUUUGGGCUGCGGACACUUGGGGCUUGAGGCCUCCUGUGGCUCCUGCUGAAUAAGGAAGAGGGAGAUGCCUUGCUGGGAGGAGAGAGAGAGAAGAAGGGAGGAAGGAAGAGAGGAAGGGAGGGAGACAGACCCAGCUCCAAAGGACAAAAUCCAAUGGGAGGGAGCUCAGGCAAGGAGAGUUUUCUUUAAAGACACAAGAAAUGAGAGGAAGCAGGAGGCUCCCAGGGGCUUGCGGGUAGGAUAGCUGAAAUUCAAAAUGGAGAUCUACCAAAGCAGCAACUAGGCUGGUUGCAAAGGACCCAGCUCAGGCAUGAGAACAUGGGCAGAAAUAUCAACAGAACUCAAAUUGCAAAUUUAGGUGGUUGCUCUGAGGUGGGUGUGGGAAGCCUCUGUGGACCUCCUUUUUUUUUUCACCUGUGAGCUGAGAGGUAUGGCAUUAGGUCUCUGCUAGCCUGACAUCCUAUGAUUCUGUCUUCCUUAAAAUUUCCUCUUACCAGAGGUGCCCAUAGUAAUUGCAGCACCUUUACUAAGCGUGAAGGGAAAGCUACUAUCAAAGUGACAGAAGGGCUCAACUACAUUGCCAUUAUUUUCUUGAGAAGAAGGUGUGCAAGACACCGCCUUAUUUGAAGCUGUCCUUUUGGGAUUAGGGAUUUUGAUGGUUCUAGGCAGUAGCCUUUUGGGAACCAAGUAUGGCAUUAUGGUUAAGAGCUGGUAUCUGAGAUCAGACAAACAUGGUGACCUUGAGCAAAUAACACAACCACUUGGACCCUCAGUUUUCUUGUCUAUUCAAGAAUAAUGAUCAUGAUGACCUGAGGAUGCUGUAAGGAUGAACUGAGAGGAUGUGUAUAAAGUGCUUGGUGCAGUGCCUGGCACAGCCAGCCAUGAAGCUGAAGAUGAGAAGAAGAGAAUACGGAUGCUGGCAGUAGGGUUUCUUCUAAACACCUGUCCUCCCUUAAGGGCUGGGACAGCCCUGGUAAGAUUCAGGGGAAAUUAGCAGGCUGGGGAUUCAGGUGGGAAGGGUGAGGCAGGGCUGAAGACCUGGCAUGAUGGCCUCUGAGGCAUCUAUUCUUCAUCCUCUCCCUGCACCAGGACCACCAGAUCAUGGCUGUUAUCCUAAUUCUCUUCACUGCCUUUUCCACUGCCCUAUCUUCCCCUGCAGCCAUGCCUGGUGCUAGAGUUGCAUCAUGAGCCGAGCCUCUAGAAAAGGCCUGUGGUUCCCCCUCUGCUUUGGCUGGUGUCAGGGGCCUUGCUGAGGGGCCCAAGGGAGGACAUUAGGAGGUGAAGGUGGUUCUAUAGACUGGAGUCUGAAAGGCAGAUUGCAGAGGAAGAACAGUGAGCUGGAGAGAAGACAGAGAAGCUGUGGAGGGUGGAGAGAGAAUGCAAGACAAGGAGGCCCUUGUAGUUCUCUCAUUCUAUGAAAAUGAGACGCAGUAAAUACUCACUAGAUGGGAACUAUUAUUAAUACAUAUUUCUAAAAAAUAAUUAAGAAAUUCCAAAACGUUCAGUUCUUCAAGAUGCUGUGGAGCUAAUAUCAUUCAUUCAUUAUCACUUAGGCAUUCAUUCAACAAAUAUUAUUAAGCACUGACUCUGUGUCAGACCCUAUGCUAGCCACUGGAGUACAAUGAUGAGCAAAAACAGACAUGAACCCUGCCUCAUAGAGCUUAGAGUCUAGUAAGGGAGAGAGACAUUGAAUAGGCAAAUGUACAAAUGAAAUAACUUUAAGGCCAGGUGUGGUGGCUCAUGUUUGGAAUCCCAGCACUUUGGGAGGCUGAGACAGGUGGAUCACGUGAGGUCAGGAGUUUGAGUUUGAGACCAGCCUGGCCAACAUGGCAAAACCCUGUCUCUACUAAAAAUAAAAAAAAAAUUAGCUAAGCAUGGUGGUGCCCGCCUGUAGUCCCAGCUACUUGGGAGGCUGAGGCAGGAGAAUCACUUGAACCUGGGAGGCAGAGGUUGCAGUGAGCUGAGAUCGUGCCAUUGCACUCCAGCCUAGGCGACAGAGCAAAACUCCAUCUCAAUAAUAAUAAUAAUAAUAAUAUGAAAAAACAUUAAAUGUGCUUUGUUCAUUUCAUCAUGUAUUUAACAGUAUGUGGGAGAGCAAAACUGAGGGGACCAACCCUAGAGGGCUGUGGAAGUGCUAGUUAAGAUAAGAUCUAAAGGCCAGAUGGGGGCCGCCCCGGUGGCUCACGACUGUAAUCCCAGCACUUUGGGAGGCUGAAGCAGGUGGAUCACCUGAGGUCAGGAGUUUGAGACCAGCCUGGCCCACAUGGGGAAACCUCGUCUCUACUAAAAAUACAAAAAUUAGCCAGGCGUGGUGUGCACCUGUAAUCCCAGCCACUCAGGAGACUGAGUCAGAAUUGCUUGAACCUGGGAGGCGGAGGUUGCAGUGAGCCAAGAUUGAGCCAUUACACUCCAGCCUGGGUGACAGAGCCAGACUCCAUCUCAAAAAUAAAUAAAUAAAUAAAAAAUAAAGGUCGGAUGGGAACUGUCCAGCCACAGACUGAAGAGGGAGGGCAGAGGGGACAGUGAUACAGAGACCAAUGGACAGGGUCAGCAGGGUGUGGGCCAUGUAGGGCCUUGGAAAAAGGUAAAACUUUUUUUUUUUUUUUUUUUACUCUUAAGUACAAUGGGAAGUUACUGAAGGGGAAUGAUUUGAGUUUUUCAUGAUCCCCCUGGUUUUUGAACGAAGAAUGGAAUGGGGAGGGGGAUAGGAGUAGAAGUCACAAGACCAGUGAGCAGGCUAUUUCAGGAGCUUACAGAGUGGCGAGCCUCACAUAAUGUCUACCCUCCACUCAGUCAGGGUCUAGAAUACAGUGAUUCUCAAUGUUGGUUAAGCAUUAGAUUCACUCAGUGAGUUUUAAGAAUGCUGAUGCCUAGGCUGCACCCAGACCACUUAAAUCAGGGUCUCUGAGGCUAGGACCCCGCAUCAGUCCUUUCUGAAGCUCCCCAGAUGAUUCUAAUGUACUGUCCCAACACAAUCUCCAUCUCCAAGAAGAGGGGGAAGGGAAUUCCUUUGGCUGAGCACCUACUAUGUGUCUGUGGCUAUGCCAGUUUAAUUUGCUUACAUUAGUUCAGUGAAUCCCCACCACAACUGUGAGAGAUGGGCAUUAUCGUACCUACUUUAUGGAUGGGGAAACUGAGACUCAAAGUAUUUUGCUUCCCUUCCCCUUGGCCUUGAGAAAGUCACUUAAGCCUCUUUAAGACUCGGUUUCUUUGUGUAAAUUGGAGUUAAUUUCUAAUCCAUAGAAUUGUCAGGAGAAUUAAACAAGGCAGGGCUGCCUACAUCUGGAACAUAUUAAGAGUUCAAUAGAUUGUAACUAUUAUUAGCAGAGCCCCAGGCCCCAGAGUAAGUAAGAGGCGGAGGCAGGCUAUGAGCCACCAUACUGCACUGUCCCCCAUCGCACAGCUGCCAGCUCCACGGAAGGAGGCUGAAUUCUGGCUUGUUCCUGUGGAUUCCCGGUGAGUCCCAGCCCAGGCACAAGGAUCAGAGCACCCUGACCAUGCCUCCAAGUCAGCAUCUACAGCAGACACUCUGCCACACGGUUGCAGUUUCAGUAGGCCCUCUCCGCUUUUCUCUGAAUUAUGAUUCCCCUUCGCAAAUAGGGGCAAGUGGCUUGCCCAAAGGCAUAAACUAAGUUAAAGACAGCUAGGGAUGAGGGCAGGUUUCCUGCCUAAGACAUUUUCCUCUUCCACAAGGGAGGAGAGGGGAAGAUGAGGCUUGUCGCAUUGGGGGAGAUAUUAUUAAUAUAUCUUUUAAGAAAUUCCAAAACAUCCAGCCCUCUAAGAUACUGUGGACCUGAUAUCAUUGAUUCAUUAUCAUUUAUUCAUUCAUAUCACUAGAGUUAGUGCUGGGGCACCAAGAAGGGUGGGUGGUCUGAGGGCAAAGGCCGGGGCCAAGGCACUUCCCAGCGCUGGUGGUGGUUCCAGCAGAGCCUGGGUGGACCCAGCACCAUGAGAGUUCCCACUGCUAUCCCUCAUCCCAGAGAGGACGCCCAGCUGGAGCUCAGACAUUUUUGUCUAGGUCUACUCUGCCCAUGCUGGGGACCCUGUGGGUCCCCCAGCCAUGUCAGUAAAGCAGAGUGACUAUGAACACAGGCUCUGAAGUCAGGAAGAUGUAAACUUCAAUCCCAGCCCUGACUCUUUUGAGCUGCAAUACCUGGUAUAGGUCUCUUAACUUCUCUAAGCCUCAGUUUCCUCAUCUGUAAAAUGGAAAUAAGUGAAAAAUAAUGUAGAUCAAUUUGAUUGAUAAGGAAGGAGCUCCAAUAUAUAUUAUUCUUUGAAAACAAAAUGAAACCAAGAUGCAGAACCGUUUUAAUAUAGUAUGAAGCAAACCAAAUGAUUAAAAAGGGAUAUCUCUAUGUGGCGGGGUGGGGGCGGGGCUUGCAUAUCAUAGACUAUAUCAGAAAGUCCACAAAACAAUGGAAACACUGCUUCUUUGUGGAGUAGGGCUGCGGUUGGAGUAGGAAGAAGAGUUACUCUUCAUUGAGUAUAGCUGGUACUAUUUGAGUUGUUUACUUUGUGAAGAUUUUAUUUUUUCAAUUAAACUACUUUUUAAAAAUUGGGUUAAUAAUACUUAGAGGGUUGACUUGAGGAUUAAAUGAAUUAGUGCAUGUAAAGUGCUUAGUACAAUGCCUAGCACAGAGCAAGUAUUCAAUUCCACACCGCAGAUAUUUAUUGGGCCUGUGAUAGAUUCAACUGGUCCUAAUUCUUCACUGCUUCCACCACUUCCAUGCCCUUGCCAGGGCAUCAGCACCUUCUUUGGCCAAGGGGGAGCUGGCAUAGUCAGGCAUGCUCUUUUGCAUUCCUGUCUUUUAAAGAA
This is a long non-coding RNA of Pan troglodytes (chimpanzee), 24646 nucleotides long. RefSeq lists it as uncharacterized. NCBI's taxonomy places the organism in Eukaryota, Metazoa, Chordata, Mammalia, Primates, Hominidae. The record is from RefSeq and is a predicted model, not a curated record. The transcript has 4 exons.